Mus musculus (house mouse) is the source of this 8468-nucleotide long non-coding RNA. RefSeq annotates it as predicted gene, 57798. NCBI's taxonomy places the organism in Eukaryota, Metazoa, Chordata, Mammalia, Rodentia, Muridae. The transcript is spliced from 2 exons. The record is from RefSeq and is a predicted model, not a curated record.
GUUCCUGAAGUAACAAGUGCUGUGUGAGGCAGGACUUUGACCUCUGACCUGCACAACCAACUGGAUUUGGGACUGGGUCCUUAGAGAAAGAUUUUUGAGUCUUGGGGACCUGGAGGUUCCCCUUUUCUAUGAAGGAGGCAUAGUUGAGAAGAACCCCCAGUUACUGGACCCUUGCCAGUCAUGAAGAUCUAGUCAUGAAGCGAAAUGAUUAACUGCCCCAUUCUUAGGCUGCCCAGCUGCCUUCUGUACACCACAAGGAAUUCAAGACGAACUAACUCAAGCCACCAGGAUUCCAGGUCUUUCGGAAAGCCACCACCCUCUACCCUUUCCUUUCCCUGGACAGCUUUGAAUCCAUUUCCUUAUCGGCUCCACUCUGGAGUGCUGGCAUGGUCGGGGGAGGGGGCCAGUCUAUAGAGAGACUACAGUCAUUUCAAGCCUGGCUCUUAAACUGAAGAAUUGAUGUUUAACUGUUUAUUCAAUGUGUAUUUGAAAUACAGAUCAAGCAAAUAGGCCACAGAACUAUCAGUGGCCUCUGAUCCCAACCCAAAACAGUUGCUGUAAAAGGCAGCUUUAAAAGCCUUGGCUGGCUCUUGGCUCCGUGGCAGUGAACCAGCUAUGCCCUGCCCAUUGUAGACGCAUGUGGCAUGUGAACACCUGUGUUCUGCAGUGUGCCAAGACAGUGAGCUGAGAGGCUAGGAAUGAAUAGAGAUGGAGGACUGAUUUGAUUGUUCAAUAUUGACUAUUCAAAUUUGGUAAGGAGUAGACUUUUUUUUGGAACAGUUUUAGGUUUACAGAAAACUUGGGUGGACAGCACAGGCCUCCAUACCUUCUUGGUCUGCACACAGCUUCUGUGUGCAAAUAAAAUACACUAAAAAAGUCAAUAAAGAUAUUACGUUAGUGUGUCACAGUCUCUACUGCAUUCCAGCUACAGCUGAUACAUUAUAAACUAAAGUUGACAGUCUGUGCAGCUCUUUCCCAACCAAUGUCCUCUUUCUGUCCCAGGAUUCACCUCCCCAGACCACAUUGCAUUUAGGUAUCUUGUCUCUUUGGGCUCUUCUCGGCUGUGACAAUGUAUCUUUGUUUUGAUGACUGUUGCAUCUGUAAGGAGCACAGGUCAGUUGGCCUAUUGGUAAUGCUCAUCAUGAUGGACACUCCCAGGACUGUUGAAGGAUUGUAAGCUGCAUAGAACCACCCUUGCAUGGCAUGGGCAUCUGAUAAAUAUUGCAUAUUGCUGCCACAGAGCUCUGCUGUUUCAAAAACCCUUCCCACGUGUUAUCUCACUUGCCCUUUCAUACAGCCUUGAGAAGUGGACAGGAUGGAUCAGCUGACUCUGCACUGCCCACCCCACGCUCCCACCCUCGCCUAAUAAACUGCAUUGGCCUGUAAUCUGUCUUUGAAAACAAAAAGAAGGAGCCCUCCCAAGCAAACAGCUCUCGGUUCCCACUCGGGGUGAGCUGGCAGACAGCCUGCAUUCUGCUGUCCCCCUCUCCCUCUCUGUAAAUAUGGAUGAAGCUGGAGGUGCUGGGAGCUUGGGUGGGGAAGGGGGGAGCUUUACUGUGGAGUUCAUCAGAUUCCCUCCCUGCAGUUAGGUCUCAGAGUCUUAGCCUGCUGGAUAUGGGGUGGGGGGAGGGGGCAAGGAGAGUGACACAUGGCAGGGGGAUGUGGGUCCUUCACUACCCACUUUGCCCCUUCCCCCCUUUGUAUCUUUAACCCAAGCUCAUUUUCCAGUCGAAGGAGCUUGUCAGCUGCUUCCCUUCUGCCUCUCAUUGCCCUGCCGUGGCGCCUGUCAGGCUGCCUCCAGGAACUAUCGGGUACUGCCCAGCCUCUCCUGAUACAUGGCUGGCUGUUCCCAACUUCAGUUUGUCAAAUUGGCUGGCAGGGCCAGAGGCAUGGGUUCUUGAGCCAGGCCCUCCUCACCCUUGACUGGCAGCUGAAUCAGGUCCCUCUCUCAUUGGACCUAGGCUUUCCAAAAUUAAAGGCAGAUGGUUGUCUCAUUAUAUCCCAGCGUGCCCUGCUGAGAUGCCACAUUCUCUGUUGAAAGACAAGGAGAUACAAUAAGCUAAAUCGUGUCCUGUGGUCUCUAAUAACAGCCCAGGUAACCCGUGAGGCCAGGACACAGUGCUCAGGCAUUCCAUGGCCCUUUGAAGGCUGCCCCUUCUUGGGUACGUCUGCUUGUCAUCUUACUGGGGUAUUCAAGCAGGCUGUGGUGAUCCUAGGGUACAUUGUCCAGCCCGAGGUUGAGCCUGCAGAAAGGCAAGCAGGCCCCAUAGAAGGGAAACGAGGGUCUGCAGGUAGGGUGAGGAAAAUUCAUGUCAUUUGGAACUUCGGCCUAGUAAAGAGAGAUGGUUAUCAAAUUACAUCACAAGAGUACCAAGCAUUCUGGUAUAUCUCAGAGUAACACAGCAUGUUGCUGUAUCAUCGACCGGUGGCUUCUCUUUCUGAGUGGCUUUUACCCAGCAAUUAAGUGAAAUUAUGUGACUCAGUAUGGAAAGGUAAUCGCUGGAGGAUUCUUCUGAUUGCCUUUGCCUCCCAUGCAGUGGGUGCCUGUGCGAACAGCGGGAUAGCGGGAGAGGAGACUAACACAGAAUGGCUGCGGUUGGCCACAGUGUGUGCCUGGGCAUGGACAGAGUGGACCAUGGAAAGGAGGUGGAACUCUUCCUCAUACUGUGCGAGAUCUAACAGAAUGGUCUAGAGCAAUGGUGACCAGAUUAAUAAGGCGAGAUGGAGCUCUCAACUCCAGCAGCAAUGAUGUAAUGCAGUCCUCAACUCCAGCAGUGUUGAUGUAAUGGAGCCCUCAGCUCCAGCAGCAAUGACUUAUAAGAUUCCCUGUCUCAGCCAGCCAGGUCUUCAGGGCUCUAUGCAGGGGUCCAGGUCCACAAAACAAAACAUUUUAAUACGCAGGUUGAGACUUAGGGAACAAUCCUGAGCCUCCCUCCUGGCCCUAUUCUCUUCUGCGUGGCUUAUUCCCUUACUUCAAUAUUCCUCCCUCCUUCCGUUCUUCCCAAAACUCUGGGCCUGGAAUGAGAUGAUUAUACUACCUCAUCUAUGUCCUCCAACCUCAGCUGAGCUCCAGGCUGCCCAGUUCCUCCCCUGUAAGGAAGAGGAAAGGAAUGCAGAGACUGGAAUGUCAGGAGAAGCCAGGGUCUUACCACGAAGAGAGGAGAGGUCAAGAUAGAACUCCUUGGUUAAUAGAAACAAAGGCAUCUGUGUCCCCUCAAAGGCUCCGUGUAUGUAGCUGGCCACUGUGCUCCCAGACAGUGCCAGCUGUACCACCGAUGCCAUCUUUCAAAGUGGUCCAGGUGCCAAGAGGCAGCCUUGGAAGAGGCUCAGGCUGAGAGGAGCUGCUGGUGUAGACCAGGCCCCGGCAGCAGCUUGGAGGAUAGAGACUUGGCUAGUUCUCAAAUGUAUGAUAGUGUCCCUUUCAGAACUCUGCAACUUGAUCGCAGAUGUUUGCUUUGCAAUACAAGGACAGGUCUUCACUCCAGAGCUUGGCAUUACUGAGUCUCCAUAGUCUGAUGCCAGCCAUCUUAUCGGCAUUCUCCCUACCCACCCAUCACGAUUUACCCAGACUGGAUUAUUCACUGUUUUUGAAGGUGUCUGGCACUAGAAAUGAAAACACUUUGUGGGUUGGUGUCACAUUCCCCUCCUAUGUCAUAUACUAGUGGACCCAGCCUCAUCCUGAUGCCUUCUAGGUGGACCCUGCAGACAGCCACUGUUGAGUGAAGUGUCAUGGGAUUCAAAUUAAGUUGAACUUGGAAUGAGAAUUUUUUGGCCGCCCCUUCUUUCCAUGGCUCCCUCUUGCUGCUCUCUCUCCCCCCACCCUUGUCUAUCGAGAUCACGGCUGCUCUCAGGGUUUGGCUGAAGUGUCAGCUCCUCCGUGGGCACUUUCAGCUCUCCUGCUGUUCUCUCCUUACUGAUAAUAGCAGGAUCUUUGUUCUCAAAAUCUGUGUCUCUCCCUGGUCAAAAUCUUGAUCAUUUACGUAUCCCCUGCAGAUCUAGAAUUCCUGCCCCUGGGGAGGAUUUAAUGGGAAUUAUCCCGAGCUGAACAUCUGUGGAGCUGACUGUAAGGUUCUCAGGAGUAACAGAGUGGAUGGGUGGGCACUAUACCUGGUAGUCUGGAGUCCUUGAUACGGAUGGGUCUUUUUUUUCCAGGAGGGGCUCUACCUGCCCAGUAAUUCCUCUGCUGUGGGCCAAGAAGCCUAGACUGUCCAUCCUUCUCCUGGCACCUACGACCCAGUGUCCACAGGAAGGUCCCUAAGAAUUGGUUUUAUUUUGUUUUAAGUAUGAGACAGGGUCUCUCUAUGUAUCCUGGCCUGGCCUAGAACUCAUGGGAAUCCCCUUGCCUCAGCCUGCUGAGUGCUCGGAUUGUAUGCAUGAGCCACAGUUGAGGGCUUUUAAUGUCAGUUCUAUCCUCCUUCCAAACUACUUUUGGAUCUGGUCUCCUCUGACUGAGGCCCAGAUAUAAUUUAACUAUGGAACGUGAGAUGGAACUUGAUCCGGGGGUAGCAAUACAUUUGACAAAGGGGAAGGAAGGGAAGGAGGAAGAUUUUACACACAGCAGGUACAUAUAACUUAGUUCCCUCCUUAAAUGAUUGAGAAAUUUUUCUCCUGUAACGUGAUGAUCCCAGCUCUGUUGUCACAGGGCUUGGCCUGCCACACAUGAAGGAAGAAAGAGGCUCCUCUACCACUCACUCCUUUCUGCACACCAAACAACACCUAAAACUCUAGAACUGAAAUAAAUCUCCCAACUAAGAUCCUAUGAAAUCAAAGUCGCAUGAUUAUGUAAAGUGUGAACUGAAUUGAAGCGGAGCUGCUGAGAAUGAACGGCAGUCGGCAUCCAUUGCUGCCUACUGGAGGCCAAUAAGCACCGAACCAGCAGGAGUAGGAUCCAAGCCCAUGACUUCUCCAUUGAACUGAGAACGCUUGAGAGAGGCUAAUCUGGUCUUAGUUUGAUAUUGGCCACUCUCAGUCCCCAUGGAAAAAGAAAAACAGCCUCAGAAUUUCCCACAGAUUAAAAUAUAACAAAUUGGAGUACACAGUCAAAGACUACUAAACUAAGGUAGUGUGUGUGUGUGUGUGUGUGUGUGUGUGUGUGUGUGUGUGUGUGUGCAUGUGCACAUGCACAUGUGUGCACUAGGAGGGACCCAAGAGAAGCCGAAUCACUGUUUAAAAACCACAGAUGCCACCAAUCAAUUUAUGCUCCCAGGAAUUCAGGAUUUUGAAGGAAGGUCUAGCAGUGGCAGUGGUAUUAGGAGCCUUUAAUCCUAGCACUUGGGAGGCAGAGGCAGGCAGGUCUCUGAGUUCAAGGCCAGCCUGGUCUACAGAGUGAGUUCCGGGACUCAAGGCCAGGGCUAUACAGAGAGGCCCUGUCUUGAAAAACAAAACAAGGAAACAAACAAACAAAACCAAACAGAAGUGGAGAAUUCAGGAUUUUGAAGUUAAAAGAUACAGAACAUAAAAUAACUGUGAGGAAAAUGUUGGAAGGAAACAGUGGAUCAUACAAAUGAGUGGGCAAGGAAGACGAAUGAAGUGACCAAGCUGUUAGAAAAGGAGCCAACUAGAACGUACAGACGUAAUACAACCGUUGGAAUAGGAAAUUAAGUGGAUGAACGAAACAGCAGAUUAAGCACAGUUAGAGGGAGAGAGGAAAUAAUUCUGAAACAAUUACCCAGCAGGUAGCACAGUGAAGCAAGGACGAGAAAAACUGAGUGAGCAGUCCGGUGAUUUGUGGAACACAAUAAGGACGCCCAGCACGUUUCAGAGCCGUAGUCUAGGAAGACAGAAUAGGCUGCUCGCAUGACAGGACGUAGACAUCACUUACUUAUUCGUAAUUAAUGUAAAGCGAGCAUUUUGGAAGCCCAGGGUUAAAGCAGAAUCUUCAAAACCUUAGAACUCCAUUUAAAGCCAGUAGUAAGUAAUUUAAAAAAAAAUCGUGCACAUGUGUGUGCACAUGUGUUUAUAACCAUUGUUUCCCUACUGCGUUUCACUGACACAGUGCACUAAAACAAGGGGUAGAAACAAUCUGUGUGCUAAUUAGUAAGAUCAUUUGCAAAGUCUGUGUACAGAGAAAACCCAAAGGCGUACAGGUAAAUUAUUAGAAGUGAGAGAUCUUAAGAUUACUGUAUUUAAGACCAAUUGAUAAAAAACCAAUUGUUUUGCUCCAUACUACACAGUACGUUAAUGUUUUAAAAAAAACAAUAUAACUUACAAUGUACCAAUGGAUGAAACAGCUAUGUGAAGGUAUCUUGGCAUUUCAUAAGAAGCUAUUGAUAAGGCCCUGGGGAAUCAAAAGAUUUAUGACACUUGAGGAAUUGGAAUCAGGAACAUGCCAGAUUCACCCAAUCCCUCCAGGUAGGUCCCUGACAGUUCUUAUGAAAGUCCCAAAGUUUUAAGUGAUGCUGAGCGACACACUCCUGUGUUUGAGUAUAUGUCCAGAGGAUGGACAUACUCUUAAAGGAUUCAGAGAAGGAGAUGGAAGGCUCUCUUACAACCCAACAGGAUUAUUAAAAAGCUAUAGUAACAGAAAUACAGGAUUUAAUGCGUUACCAUAGUCCAGAGGGAAUAUACCCUAAGACCACGUAGAUGACUGACACCUGAAACCAACUAGGAUUCAACACUAAGCAUACUGUUUUCUCUAUAACAUCUACUUAUGAUAAAUUUUAAUAUGUAAGCUAGGCAUAGUAAGAGCUUAACGGCAAUAUGUAGAGCAAUUACAAAAAACCAUAAGAACAAUUUUUUGUUAGCUUGUUUGUUUGUUUUUGUUUUUCAAGACAGGGUUUCUCUGUGUUGCCUUGGCUGUCCUGGAACUAACUUUGUAUAGCAGGCUGGACUUGAACUCAGAAAUCUGCCUGUCUCUACCUCCCAAGUGCUGGGAUUAAAGGUGUGUGCCACCACUGCCUGGCAAGAACAAUUCUUUUUUGUUUGUUUGUUUGUUUAUUUUUCGAGACAGGGUUUCUCAGUGUAGCCCUGGCUGUCCUGGAACUCACUUUGUAGACCAGGUUGGCCUCGAACUCAGAAAUCCGCCUGCCUCUGCCUCCUGAGUGAACAAUUCUUAAAUAUGGCUUUUCCCCAGUGUAUCUUGUUUUAUUUUCUUGUCUGAAAAAAACACCUUACAGGAUUUUUUUUUUUUUUUGACUCUGUGUCUGUUAUGUUAGAGGGUUACUUAAACACACGGACAGUGAUACACAACAGUUGUGCCAAAACAGAGAUGCUUCUAAGUGACUGGUGGGCAGGUAGGGGUAGUAUAUACAGUGUGGAUGUGUUGGACCAGAAGGGUGACUCAUGUUCUGCAGCAGGAUGGAUUGGGACAGUGAGAGAUUUUACCAUGAUCUGUGUGUUAUAAACUGUAUGAAUUAUUUAUUUCUGAGACUUCUCAUUGAAUAAGUUCAGACCACAGUUGGCAAAAAGCAAUUGAAUCCAUAGAAAGUUAAGGAGAGGGGCUAGAGAGAUGGCUCAGUGGUUAAGAGCACUGACUGCUUUUCCAAAGGUCCUGAGUUCAAAUUUCAGCAACCACAUGGUGGCUCACAACCAUCUGUAAUGAGAUCUGACGCCCUCUUCUGGUGUGUCUGAAGACAGCUACAGUGUACUUAGAUAUAAUCAUAAAUAAAUCUUGAAAAAAAAAAAAAGAAAGUUAAGGAGAGUAUCAUAGAGACAAAUUAGCCGAUACACCCAAAGAGGAAGCUGGGAGAUAACCACACAGCCAAGCAGAAACCAGACUUGUGGUGGCGACGUGGAACACCACGAGAAGUGGCUGGCAGUUCCAAGUGGUUCUGGGACAUCUGGUUAUCAGAAUGGGAGAAAAAUAAGAUUCAGACCCCUACCUCACACCUCAGUUCCAAGUGGAAUACAAGUUUUGAGUGUAGCUGGGCUCAAUGGUGCAUGUCUGUGGUUCUGGGCACUCCUCCAGUUGCUGACUUAGGGUCUCUUAGAUCCAGACACCUAAUACCACAAACAAAACACAAAGCACAAACAAACCUUUAAUGUGGCCUACCUGUGUGAAGAAAUGUCUUUAAAAAGACACAUAGGAUCAUCAUAUUAGAACUGAGAAGUUCUGUGCCCUGUAAGACAAUUUUUAAAAGUAAAGACAGAGCCAGCAAGACAGCUCAGGAGCUCCAGGGUCUACCACCAGGCCUGACCCUGGGGUUUGCUCCCAUGAUGCCUGUGAUAGGCGAGAACUCCCACCCCCCCCCCAAGAUGUCAUCUGACCUCUACACACCUGCUGGGGCGCAUGCGCGCGCGCGCGCGCGCGCGCACACACACACACACACACACACACACACAGAGUGAGUAAAUGAAAUGUGAAAAAAAAGUUCUUAAGUAAAAAGACAAAUCACAGGCUAAGAGGAGAUAUUAUAUUGGAAUAUUAUAUUGGAAUACUCAAUAACUGAGGUUUAAUGUCAAGAUUGGAAAAAAAUGAUUUGAAACAGGAAAAAGAUAAGAACAUCCUAUCACCUGUGAAGAAACAGAAA